CCUACGGGGGGCUGCAGUCGAGAAUAGUCUACAAUGGACGAAAGUCUGAUAGUGCGACGCCGCGUGAACGAAGAAGCCCCUCUGGGGUGUAAAGUUCUUUUAUAUGUGAGCAAUGACCGCCAGGUGAAUAGUUUGGUGGUAGAGAUAUUAGCAUAUGAAUAAGCAACGGCUAACUCCGUGCCAGCAGCCGCGGUAACACGGGGGUUGCGAGCGUUGUCCGGAAUUACUAGGCGUAAAGGGCAGGUAGGCGGAUAUAUAAGUUUGAUGUUAAAGGCGACGGCUCACCCGUCGUAAGGCAUUAGAUACUGUAUAUCUGGAAUGCGGUUGGGGAAGACAGAAUUCCUGGUGUAGCGGUGGAAUGCGCAGAGAUCAGGAGGAAUACCGAAGGCGAAGGCAGUCUUCUAAGCCGUAAUUGACGCUAAACUGCGAAGGUGUGGGUAUCAAACAGGAUUAGAUACCCCGGUAGUC
This 468-nucleotide ribosomal RNA is filed under the name uncultured bacterium. RNAcentral describes it as "bacterial SSU rRNA". It matches the Rfam family "Bacterial small subunit ribosomal RNA", at positions 338 to 795 of the family's 1533-position model. The record is from RNAcentral.